AUAACCGUUCGCCAGGAUUCUACG
Molecule: non-coding RNA, 24 nt
Filed under: Arabidopsis thaliana (thale cress)
Lineage: Eukaryota; Viridiplantae; Streptophyta; Magnoliopsida; Brassicales; Brassicaceae
Source: RNAcentral